Cynoglossus semilaevis (tongue sole) is the source of this 1613-nucleotide long non-coding RNA. RefSeq lists it as uncharacterized. The transcript is spliced from 2 exons. Lineage: Eukaryota; Metazoa; Chordata; Actinopteri; Pleuronectiformes; Cynoglossidae. The record is from RefSeq and is a predicted model, not a curated record.
GUGUGACUGCUCCUCCCACCAUUCAGGAGCAGGAGCCGGAGCCGGAGCAGGAGUGACAUGACUUCAGCUGCCUGUUUAUCACCAGCUCUGAAGGUGGUGGAAAGCUCAAGUAAACCUGUCUGAAGAGAAGGAGAUUAUGGAAUUUAUGACCUCCCUGCCAACAUACAGAACCACCGGUGCUUCAGAGUUUUAGUGAGAUGGGAUCUAAUGAGUCCAGAUGCUGUUCAUGGUCAUGUUCACAUACGGAGAAGGAUGACGUUGGCUGCAAACAAGAACCACAAGAAACUGAAGUAUUUCUCCAGGACACCCAGUGUGAUGCAGAAGAGAUGACAGUAGGAGACAGUGGUCCCUUGAAUCUUGACCCUGUGGUCUCCAAACCUAUCCUGGACUUUGCUCAGAAGAUGUCAGAGGACAUUAUUACCCAGGCUUUGCAGCUGUUCUGGGAAGUGGAGAUUCAGUACAAGGACUUGCCCUUUAUUGACAGUGGCUCUGAUUACAUUAUAUGACCAGAAGGGAGGAAACCGGAGCAAAGUCAUCUUUUACUGCUGCCCAUGAACUUCAACCAGGUGGAGUUCCUGUCAUGCUGGAGGAUUGCAGCUGCAUUUCUGUAGUCUCCGCAGCACGUACUCCACAGUUUGUUUUUGGGGUUUUUGUACAUUGUAAACCACCGAAGCAUGGUGAAACUGUAGUUGCAAAAUCAAAUCAUGUAAUUGUAUGGUUUUUUUGGAAAAUAAGUCUUAGUCUUAGUCAAUGUCACAGAAGAGAUAUGUCAGCAUUUUCAAGAUGACACUAGUUUUAACGAUUAUGGCUAAUUAUUUCUACCCUGACUACUAAUAACCUGUGAAUGUGUAGUGAAUGACAACUUAACUUAAGAGAGCUACAAUUCCAAAAUGUCCACUGAAGUUCAAACAAUACCAGCAGUGUAUUUUAUCAUAACGUACGUCACGGAUGAGUUGUGACAACAGUAUGAGUGAGAAAACAACACCUGUCAGACACCUGUCUAACAGGACAAGCUUUUCUUCCACUGUGUUAACUCUAUAGCUGCUGUGUGUACAGGAACACCUAACCACAGAGUUACACUAGUGACUUCAUUUCAUAUGAGCCCUGACAGAACAGACUGAGAGCAAAGUUAACCUGACUUUUAGAGGAUCGUAUAUAAUGUAGUAUUUUCAAAUUACACUUUUUUUCAUCCCAAAAUGCAAAUGUCUUUGCAAUUAAAUUAACAUUUGAAAGCAUAGGGAAAAAAAACAAAACAAAACACCAGAAACAAAGUGAAGUAGAGAAAACAAGUUAUAUACCUAUAGGUCAGACUGAUACACACAAAUAAAUAAACAAAUCCAGAAGACCAGAAGAACUACACCAAAUAGUCCAAAUAUAACCAUGACAUUUACUAAAAGUUAUUUUAAAACUAUCCAAAGGAUACUAAUAGUGAAGCCAUUCACUGUUGGUCAAAUGGCAAAAGCUAUGGCUAAGCUUUGAUAAUAUUAGGUUAGAUAUCACAAAAUGUCCUAAACAAAUAAAGUGCAAAAUUAGCAACUCUAUGGUGCAAAAAAAAAAAAAAAACUCCAAUAGCUUGGAAAGGGUUGAGAGAUGCAAUAAAAAGGGAAGCAAAA